GCCAGACUCCUACGGGAGGCAGCGGUGGGGGAUAUUGGACAAUGGGGGAAACCCUGAUCCAGCGACGCCGCGUGAGUGAAGAAGUAUUUCGGUAUGUAAAGCUCUAUCAGCAGGGAAGAAAGAAAUGACGGUACCUGAGUAAGAAGCCCCGGCUAACUACGUGCCAGCAGCCGCGGUAAUACGUAGGGGGCAAGCGUUAUCCGGAAUUACUGGGUGUAAAGGGAGCGUAGACGGUUAAGCAAGUCUGGAGUGAAAGGCGGGGGCCCAACCCCCGGACUGCUCUGGAAACUGUGUAACUGGAGUGCAGGAGAGGUAAGCGGAAUUCCUAGGGUAGCGGUGAAAUGCGUAGAUAUUAGGAGGAACACCAGUGGCGAAGGCGGCUUACUGGACUGUAACUGACGUUGAGGCUCGAAAGCGUGGGGAGCAAACAGGAUUAGAUACCCGCGUAG
Molecule: ribosomal RNA, 449 nt
Filed under: uncultured bacterium
Lineage: Bacteria
Description: bacterial SSU rRNA
Rfam family: Bacterial small subunit ribosomal RNA
Source: RNAcentral